Non-coding RNA from Mauremys mutica (yellowpond turtle), 500 nucleotides. The record is from the annotation of a RefSeq genome assembly. NCBI's taxonomy places the organism in Eukaryota, Metazoa, Chordata, Testudines, Geoemydidae.
GUGAAUUUUAACAGCAACAGAGAAAAAAAAUCAAGACCAUGAUUUUGCAAAUAUAUUUGACAUGGCUUCUCUUUUCCAUGUUUGAAGAAUCCAGCGGGCAGAUUGUUAUCACUCAGACACCUGCUUCUGUGACGGUGCUUCCAGGAGAGACGGUCACCAUUCAGUGCAAGGCGUCCAGCUCAAUGAGUGAUGAUAUGAGCUUAUUUCUGUUUAAAUCAGGACAAAAGCCUAAGCUCCUCAUUCAUGAUGCAAACAACCGUUUCACUGGAGUCCCAGAUCGAUUCAGUGGUAGUUACAGUGGCACUGACUUCACAUUCACCAUUAGUGGGGUGCAGGUUGAAGAUGCAGGAGAAUACUAUUGUGGGCAAGAUAACAACUACCCUCUCACAGUGAUUCAGUUCGGUACAAAAACCUCUAUGGUGCCUCUGCACACACCAUGUAGUGUAAAGCAGAAGGAAGCAGCUGUAUACCUAUCAAUGUGGGUUGAAAGUAACCUUUAA